UCCUCCAUGACCUUGAGCUGUUUCCCUCUUGGCACCUCCGUUUCUACCCUGGAAACGGGAGGCGACGACACGUAUGGGGAGAAAGGCAAGGGAGGCCCUCUUCAGGGGGCCGGUUGUGGUCCAUCUGAAGGUAACAAUUAGCCAAUUUGUUUUACUGGGAAGCCGCCACAGGCCUUAUUAUAGCAGCCCCCUGCUCUGGCCCUUCCAUCUUGCAACGAAGGGGGCCAGGAAACGGCCGAGUCAGCCCUUGCUGCAACAACUUCUAGAAUCAGAAGGGGCCUUUCCGAGAAUCUUGCUGAACCCCGAGGGUGAGGAGUGUCUGAUUUUGCAGUGGGGGAAAGUUGGCAACGGAGCCUCCACUUCUAAGUAACCUUUGCCUCGGAAACUCGCCAACUAUCUGCCUGGAGACUUGCCUUUGAUCACAUCUUGUCACCUCCCAGGAGAUGUUCCACUUUCCAGGCAGGUGAAAAACGAACCCGAUUAAAAAUAGCAGACUGAACUCUAAAUCGCCGGGCGCUGGACUCCUCGCAGAAUCCCCUCGAAAAGCGAAACUACUGGUCCUCCUCCAAGUGGGGAAGAAGAAGAGCCACGCCCCUCCGGAGAAAGGGCUCGCUCUGCCAGGCAGGCUCCGGCUGCACUUAGAAAUUAAAGUACACUCCCCUGUCCGCGCCCCGGAACCCUGGCCGGCUGCUGCCUGUCCAAAACAGCCUGGGACCCCAGUGGCCAGAGAAACUGGGAGCAGCCCAAAGAAGGGGAAAGAAGAUGUGUUUAUGUGAAUUUCAAUAAGCAGUUGGUUCAGAGGCAAAACGAGUUUGUGUCAAGGUGCCUUUCAGUUCUUUGCUGCCCAAAUAUGCAUGGCCUGAACCUGCAGUCGCCUGGAGACCCUGGUUAUGGGUCAAAACUACUCCUCCAACCUCACAAUCUGUGAUAAACCUGAGUCGCCAGGAAAGCUUUAUGUAACACCCACCGGGUCCUCGGCUUCUCAGUGUUUUGUUUCCAGAGUUCCACAUAAACCUGGCAGCACAUCAAAACCUCUGUUUCAUAACAGACUAGAAAUAGGAUUUUCUAAUAACAUUCAGAAGAGCGGACUUAUCACGCAGGGAUCUGGAAUUUUAUGAAUUGUUGUUGGUUAACUAAACAAAGACCCCCACACCGCCCAGGCUGCUAUCCCUGGGGUUGAGAUGGGAAGAGCCAUCGGAAGAACGGCCUUUCUGCAUCUGUGAUCUGUUGGUUAGUCACCCAUGGUCCUUUUCAAAGAAUUUACUAAAUAAUCUCAAACAUAUUGAGGAUC
Choloepus didactylus (southern two-toed sloth) is the source of this 1291-nucleotide long non-coding RNA. RefSeq lists it as uncharacterized. Lineage: Eukaryota; Metazoa; Chordata; Mammalia; Pilosa; Megalonychidae. The transcript is spliced from 3 exons. The record is from RefSeq and is a predicted model, not a curated record.